Long non-coding RNA from Rhincodon typus (whale shark), 1650 nucleotides. RefSeq lists it as uncharacterized. The transcript has 2 exons. The record is from RefSeq and is a predicted model, not a curated record. Lineage: Eukaryota; Metazoa; Chordata; Chondrichthyes; Orectolobiformes; Rhincodontidae.
UGCGAGGUGGUGGCUGGCUGUAGAGGUUGGUCUCUCGUCUUCAAAGUAGUUCUUUUGAUGAGGUUGCAGAAUCACUUAACUGAUUGUAAGAUACAAAGAGGCCGUUCGGGUCGUCCUGUUUAUGCUGGCAAGACACCGAGUCUUACUCCCUUCGCCUAGGCUUUUUUUCUUCAGUUACUCUUCCCAUUCCCUUUAGAAAGCCUUUGCUGCGUCAGUUUCAACUGCAGUGGACAGGGAGGAGGAUCUGCAGAAGGAGAAACUCCACGUUAAAAUCUCGAGGACAUUGGAACCCUGCAAUUUCCACUAUGAAGCUGCCAAAGGGAAGGAGGUUCUCGGAGAGUUUUGUUGGCUAAAUGCACGCUAAUUUGAUUCAGGAAGAAAGUAUUUCAGUGGAUGCAUUUGAUCUGUUUUAGCUAUUGGAUGAGGAAGAUUGGCAGUUCAGAAACUGAAACCAAACAUCACAUCAGAAUGUCAUGGUGUUGCCUCAUUUACGGAAACUCCAAUAUUAUUGGAUUUUGAAAAUGGAAGCUAGAAGCACUGCUCACAGAACCCAUGCACAUACUGUAUGUGUGGACUAGGCUUCAGCCAGCCAUCUGAUCUGUCAGAACAUAAAUGCAAUCACCACUGAAAGAAACUGAAAAUACGGGGAAUUUGGGAAGAGAUUCAAUUACCCAUCUGUGCAGGAACAACAUUGGUGAAGUCGCACUGGAAGAGGCCUUUCAACUGCCCAGAAUGUGAAGUGAAUGAUUUCACUAUCUGCCCUACUGAGGCAGCAGUGGAUCACAGCUGGGAGAAACAUUUAGGUGCUGCGACUGUGGGGUAGCGAUUCACAUCAAUCAUCCCACCUGAUGAUACAUGAGUUCACACAGAUGAGAGAUUGUUUAGGUGAUCUUGCUGUGAGACUGGAUUCAAGUGAUCACUUGCUCUCAAUAUACACCAGCAAAUUCAUGCUGAGAAAAGACCGUUCACUUGCUCCAAGUGUGGAAAGGAAUUCACUUGCUCAUCCAAGCUGCUGAAAAUCCAGUGAGUUUACAGCAGGGCGAGACUAUUCACCAGGUCUGUGUGGGAAAGGAUUUACUCGGGCAUUUAACCUGCUGCCGCAGCAUGCAUUCACUCUGGGGAGAGACCAUUCCCCUGCUCAGUGUGGAAAAGGAUUCAUUAGUUCAUCCAAUCUGAUAAGACACUGGCAAAUUCACACUGACAAGAGACCCUUCAAUUGCUAUGGGAAAUGCCACAAAAGUUCCCAGGAUGUACCAUCAGUGUUUUUAUGUUGUUGUGAAACCAUUCAAAUGUUUUCACUGCAAUAGACUUCAGGCAAUUAUCUCAACUGAGUAUGUACCAACACGCUCAUACUUUUGUGUAGGAAGGGAUUCACUCAGUGACUAUACUCAUUCUGCUGCUGCACUAGUAAGGGGAUACUGGGAAAUCACUGUUCAUCUGCUUCAAAUUUUGGGUAGAGAAUCUGUCAGUCCUGACACCUCGUGAAACAGUGAGGUCAAAAGUGACAAUAGUAAUUGUAUUUUUCUGAUAAUCCUAUCUAUGACUGGACCAUGUACCUUGGAGUCUGUUUCUGCUUAUGUUGACAAAUGCCAGCUCAGUCAUUUGUGGUAUUCUUCUGGAUACAAAUCAAAUAAAAUACCUUCAUGAUUA